AACGCGUGAGAAUCUGCCUCUAGGACUGGGACAACAGAAGGAAACUUCUGCUAAUCCCGGAUGAGCCGGAAGGUGAAAGAUUUAUCGCCUAGAGAUGAGCUCGCGUCUGAUUAGCUAGUUGGUAAGGUAAAAGCUUACCAAGGCAACGAUCAGUAGCUGGUCUGAGAGGAUGAUCAGCCACACUGGGACUGAGACACGGCCCAGACUCCUACGGGAGGCAGCAGUGGGGAAUUUUCCGCAAUGGGCGCAAGCCUGACGGAGCAAGACCGCGUGGGGGAGGAAGGCUCUUGGGUUGUAAACCCCUUUUCUCAGGGAAGAACCAAAUGACGGUACCUGAGGAAUCAGCCUCGGCUAACUCCGUGCCAGCAGCCGCGGUAAUACGGAGGAGGCAAGCGUUAUCCGGAAUGAUUGGGCGUAAAGCGUUCGUAGGUGGCUAUUCAAGUCUGCUGUCAAAGACAGAAGCUCAACUUCUGAAAGGCAGUGGAAACUGAGUAGCUGGAGUGCGGUAGGGGCAGAGGGAAUUCCCGGUGUAGCGGUGAAAUGCGUAGAGAUCGGGAAGAACACCGGUGGCGAAAGCGCUCUGCUGGGCCGCAACUGACACUGAGGGACGAAAGCUAGGGGAGCGAAUGGGAUUAGAUAC
Molecule: ribosomal RNA, 640 nt
Filed under: Limnoraphis robusta SAMAO-2
Lineage: Bacteria; Bacillati; Cyanobacteriota; Cyanophyceae; Oscillatoriales; Sirenicapillariaceae
Description: bacterial SSU rRNA
Rfam family: Bacterial small subunit ribosomal RNA
Source: RNAcentral